UCAGAAUGAACGCUGGCGGCAUGCCUAACACAUGCAAGUCGAACGAAUGCCCUUCGGGGUGUUAGUGGCGCACGGGUGCGUAACGCGUGGGAAUCUGCCCUUGGGUUCGGAAUAACAGUUGGAAACGACUGCUAAUACCGGAUGAUGACGUAAGUCCAAAGAUUUAUCGCCCAGGGAUGAGCCCGCGUAGGAUUAGGUAGUUGGUGUGGUAAAGGCGCACCAAGCCGACGAUCCUUAGCUGGUCUGAGAGGAUGAUCAGCCACACUGGGACUGAGACACGGCCCAGACUCCUACGGGAGGCAGCAGUGGGGAAUAUUGGACAAUGGGCGAAAGCCUGAUCCAGCAAUGCCGCGUGAGUGAUGAAGGCCUUAGGGUUGUAAAGCUCUUUUACCCGGGAUGAUAAU
RNAcentral lists this ribosomal RNA (404 nucleotides) under Sphingomonas sp. Its description in RNAcentral is "bacterial SSU rRNA". It matches the Rfam family "Bacterial small subunit ribosomal RNA", at positions 24 to 452 of the family's 1533-position model. The record is from RNAcentral. Lineage: Bacteria; Pseudomonadati; Pseudomonadota; Alphaproteobacteria; Sphingomonadales; Sphingomonadaceae.